UCUCCCACUCUCUCCCUCUCUCUUCCCCUGUCUCCCCCUCCCCCCCUCUUUCUUUUUGAGAUAGAAAAUAUGAAGUUGGAGAGCAAAGAAUAUGAUCAAAGUAUACUGUGUGGGGGUUGGUGGUUUAGCUCAGUGGCAGAGCGCUUGCCUUGGAAGCGCAAGGCCCUGGGUUCGGUCCCCAGCUCCGAAAAAAAGAACCAAAAAAAAAAAAAA
This 213-nucleotide long non-coding RNA is filed under the name Rattus norvegicus (Norway rat). RNAcentral's name for it is "long non-coding RNA NONRATT019906". The record is from RNAcentral. Lineage: Eukaryota; Metazoa; Chordata; Mammalia; Rodentia; Muridae.